This 344-nucleotide ribosomal RNA is filed under the name Ara macao (Scarlet macaw). Its description in RNAcentral is "partial 12S small subunit ribosomal RNA". It matches the Rfam family "Bacterial small subunit ribosomal RNA", at positions 874 to 1348 of the family's 1533-position model. The record is from RNAcentral. Lineage: Eukaryota; Metazoa; Chordata; Aves; Psittaciformes; Psittacidae.
UUGAUGACCCCAAACACAAACAUCCGCCUGAGAACUACGAGCACAAACGCUUAAAACUCUAAGGACUUGGCGGUGCUCUAAACCCACCUAGAGGAGCCUGUUCUAUAAUCGAUAACCCACGAUUCACCCGACCACCUCUUGCCAAAACAGCCUAUAUACCGCCGUCGCCAGCCCACCUCGUGAGAGCACAACAGUGAGCCCAACAGCCCACAGCCCACUAACAAGACAGGUCAAGGUAUAGCCUAUGAGGUGGAAGAAAUGGGCUACAUUUUCUAAAAUAGAAAACCCAACGAAAAGGGGCUUGAAACCUGCCCCCAGAAGGCGGAUUUAGCAGUAAAGUAGGA